GACGAACGCUGGCGGCGUGCUUAAUACAUGCAAGUCGAACGGAGUUAAGGGUUUCGGCCUUUAACUUAGUGGCGAACGGGUGGGUAACGCGUGAAUAACCUGACUCAAAGAGGGGGAUAACAACGGGAAACUGUUGCUAAUACCGCAUGAGACCACAACACCGCAUGAUGAAGGGGUCAAAGAUUUAUCGCUUUGAGAGGGGUUCGCGUCCCAUUAGGUAGUUGGAGGGGUAACGGCCCACCAAGCCAACGAUGGGUAGCCGAGCUGAGAGGCUGAUCGGCCACACUGGAACUGAGACACGGUCCAGACUCCUACGGGAGGCAGCAGUAGGGAAUAUUGGGCAAUGGGCGCAAGCCUGACCCAGCAACGCCGCGUGAGGGAAGAAGGUUUUCGGAUUGUAAACCUCUGUCCUAUGUGACGAAGGAAGUGACGGUAGCAUAGGAGGAAGCCCCGGCUAACUACGUGCCAGCAGCCGCGGUAAUACGUAGGGGGCGAGCGUUGUCCGGAAUUACUGGGCGUAAAGGGUGCGUAGGCGGUUUGGUAAGUUGGAUGUGAAAUACCCGGGCUUAACUUGGGGGCUGCAUCCAAUACUGUCGGACUUGAGUGCAGGAGAGGAAAGCGGAAUUCCUAGUGUAGCGGUGAAAUGCGUAGAUAUUAGGAGGAACACCGGUGGCGAAGGCGGCUUUCUGGACUGUAACUGACGCUGAGGCACGAAAGCGUGGGGAGCAAACAAGAUUAGAUACCCUGGUAGUCCACGCCGUAAACGAUGAAU
Molecule: ribosomal RNA, 772 nt
Filed under: uncultured bacterium
Lineage: Bacteria
Description: bacterial SSU rRNA
Rfam family: Bacterial small subunit ribosomal RNA
Source: RNAcentral